GGAGGCGGAAGGCGACUCGGACCUGGGCGCCCGGCCCAGGGCGGUGUGGCUGAGCGGCUGCCCCAGCCCCAGUCUGGGCCCGGCCUCUCGCCUCUUGCCUUCGGCCUCCCGCCUCCCGUCCCGGGCGGGCUGCGCGGCACCGACCCGACGGCGGCGGGCGGGGCAGGGGAGGCACGGGGAAGAAAUAGAACCCCAACCUCGCGGACCCGGGCCCGGCCCGCGGGCUCGCCUGCCUCUCCUGCCCAGCAGAGCACCCGGAGCGGUACCGGCCCAGCGGCCGCUCUCCGCGACUUGGGCCUCUCGUCCUCUGACGCGCCUCCCGGGCAGGGCCGAGGUCGGGGCCGAGGUCUCCCACUAGAGGGCCACGAUCUGCCUACGCGGCUGUGUCGCCCUAGCGGAGGGCGAGCGCCUCAGGAGCUGAGACGGCGUCCUCUUCCCUCAGAUCUGGCACUAGUGGAGCCUAGUAGGCAGCUAUGUGAAAGGUAGCAGAGGGGGCAUGGGCCUGGCGCUUACUAGGUGCGCCCUCAAUGUUGGGUCAUUGCUAUAUCUAGAGACCUGCACGAAGGCCCGGAGGAAUGGAGCCUCUGGAGGAACCGUGAGACCCGCGGUGAACAGAGUUGAAGGCCUGGCAACGGGUGCCUCCCAGGGUAUAGACGGCGAGACCUCCGAGUUACAGGGGAAGCUAGGACUGUGCAAGGUGAGAACGGAGAGGUGGGCAGAUGGCCCAGAAGGUGACCAGCAGGACCUUCCAAGAGCCCAGCGUACCUGGAGACAGGCGGAAUUAAGGCAACAGCCAGUUUGAGAUACACACUGAACUUCAAACAAGUCUAGACUACCACCUGCAGACUACUGGAGACAACUUUUUAUUUGAAUGAACAGAAUCGUGGACUAAAAUGAAAGAGAAAAUAAUGUAUCGGGAUUGUGGCAAUACAUAGAAGCCAUGGGACAGGAAGUAUUAUUAUCCCUUUCUGUAAAGGUUUGGAACCAGGGAAAAGAUGAAAACGUCAACUUUAUCACCAAUAAAGCAGAGCUGAAAAAUGUCUUGGAUGAUGACCAAUAGGCUUUUAACUAUUCUUUGAAUUAAAAUAUUCUCCCCCCAAAAAUUCAACCUCCACUUGGCAGAGACCUAGUAACUUGAACCAUGUCUGGUUAAAGAAUAUUGUACUCUCUCUAAGGACAGGCAGACCCAAGUCAAUUAGGAAGUCACUCCUGGAAGAACCAGGACAAAUUCUCCUCUACCUGCCCUCCUCGGGGGGGAAAAAAAAAUAGGGAAUAAGGAUUUAGCUCUGCCCAAACAAUUUGGAUCUGGCCCAGUAGUUGGUCAGUUAACUAGUAAAGUAUAUUAAAGCAGUGAAUUAUUAAAAGUGGCAAAUAAAAACCUUAACACUUCAGAAGUUCCCUUCAUGGCUCAGCGGUUAAUGAACCCGACUAGUAUCCAGGAGGAUGCGGGUUUGAUCCCUGGCCCUGCUCAGUGGAUUGGGAUCCAGCGUUGUCGUGAGCUGUGGUGUAGGUCACAGACGGGGCGGCUCAGAUCCCAUGUUGCUGUGGCCACUGUGUAGGCCAGCAGUUAUAGCUCCGAUUCAACUCCUAGCCUGGGAACAUCCAUAUGCUGUGGGUGUGGCCCUAAAAAGGAAAAAAACCUUAAUAUUUCAUUUUUCACUUCAAGUCUAUAACGCCCACUUGCCAAGCUUUUUUUUUUUUUUUUUUUUUUUUGGCUACAGCUACAGCCUAUGGAAUUCCCUGGCCAGGGAUUGAUCCCAGGUCACAGCAGCAGCCUGAGCCACAGCAGCAACAACACCAGAUCCUUAACCCACUGUGCCAUCAGGGAACUCCACUGCCAAUCUUUUGAUAUGAUAACAAAUUUGAGCAAGAGUGGUGGUUAGAGCUCUUGAUCUAUCUUACAUAAUAUAUUUUCUAUGCUUUCCAAGUUAUUUCUUGAAAGUUGACUGAGGCCUUAAGACCUCUUGCAAAGCAACAUAACUAGAGGCUCCUUCUCUUUUGGAGGGCCAUGCGCACAAUAUGCAGAAAUUCCCUGGGCCAAGGAUUAAACCCAAACCACAGCAGUGACAACACUGAAUCCUUAACCACUAGGCCACCAGGGAACUCCUAGAGGCUCCUUCUCUAUCUUAUUUUUAUUUUUUGCUUUUCGGGGCCGAACCCUCGGCAUAUGGAGGUUUCCGGACUAGGGGGCCAAUCAAAGCCUACUCCAGAGCCACAGCAACAUCAGAUCCGAGCCUCGUCUGUGAACUACAUCACAGCUCAAGGCAACACCAGAUCCUUAACCCACUGAGUGAGGCCAGUGAUCAAACCCGCAAUGUCAUGGUUCCUAGUCGGAUUCAUUUCUGCUGCACCACAACGGGUGGCUCCCUCUUUAAAAAAAAAAAAGUUAUUUGUAAUUGUCUCACCCACAUCUGGUUUGACAGUAAUUUUCAACUGUCUUUAGCUCAUAUUUCCAAAGCAUUCAACUGACAUUUCAUAGACACAACUCUUUCAUGCUUAUGUCUCAUCAGUUUAUGCAAUUUUAAUUAAAUUAAUUAUACUCUGGCAAACAGCUAUCAUAAGCAGUUUUGGGACCAAACACAACAGACUCUUGUUAGAUAUCUAACUCAACUGGUAGGAAAAGGUGUGUGGAUGUUGCAGAGAUGGACUCACCAGUUCAAAGCAUUCUGCAGGCACUGGCAGUAAUCAAUACAUUUAUUUGGAGGUAAUGUAAAGUGUUGAUUCCAGAGAGUCCAUUAAAACAAGAUGAGUUAGGAGUUUCCUAGUGGCCUAGUAGACUAAGGAUCCAGAUUGUCACUGCUUGGGUCACUGCUGUGGCACAGGUUCAGUUCCUGCCUGGGAACUUCUCCAUGCCAUGGGUAUAGCCCCCCCCACACACACACACAAAUGGGUUAAUGCACGUACACUAGCAUAACCAACUCUGGGUGCAUAUAUCUUAACAUUCCUCUUCUAUCAUGUAUCCAUUUUAUAAAUGUUUAUUGAUAUUCAGGACAGUGCCAGGCACUAUAACAAGCCCUGAAGAAGCACAGCUCACUGAAGAGGAAGAAAUUGAUAUGGAAACAGGGUGAAGCAGCAGGAUGGAAAAGGAGGAAUUUUCAGGAGCAAAUCCCUUUACCUUCUCUCUAUUCGUUCCCCGCAAAAUUGCUGUCUCUCCAUUCCCAUUAGCUAAAAAAAAUGGCUUUAAAUAUCUUAUGGCUAUCACAGAGGUCUGAUGGUAAUCCCGCUUACUACAUUAGCAACAUACAUAUAUGCCUCAUGUACUUUCUGAGGCUAAUGAGAUGAUGCAGUUGGUCCAUUCAGAGAAAGCUGCAGCAAUGGGAAUUGGUAUAAUCCUCUUAAAAAGCAAUUUGACAGUAUUUCUGAAGAGCCUUAAUAGAGAUGUGACUCCCUUUUGACUCAUCAAUGCCACUCCUAGAAAAUUUUCCUUAAGAAAUAAUCCUCCCCAAAAGAGAAUGGCCACAUGCACAAUAUUUACUAUAACUUUACUUGUGAUGAAAGUUUGAAACAUAUGAAUGAUUAACUUAUUAUAUGCAACAUUGUAUAACUUUGAGUGCACAUGGCAUAAAAGAAGACAUUUGAUUAUAUAUUAAAUUUUAAAAGAUAUAAUUUGCUCAUCUUACUAAGAACAACUGAACUAUUUGUUUUUUGUUUUUGUAUGGCCGCACCUGAGGCAUAUAGAAAUUCCCAGGCUAGGGGUCCAAUAGGAGCUACAGCUGCUGGCCUACACCACAGC
RNAcentral lists this long non-coding RNA (3733 nucleotides) under Sus scrofa (pig). RNAcentral describes it as "lncRNA (ENSSSCG00045030415.1)". The record is from RNAcentral. Lineage: Eukaryota; Metazoa; Chordata; Mammalia; Artiodactyla; Suidae.